UACGUAGGGUGCAAGCGUUGUCCGGAAUUAUUGGGCGUAAAGAGCUCGUAGGCGGUUUGUCGCGUCAGGAGUGAAAUCCAUUGGCUUAACUUGGUGGCUUGCUUUCGAUACGGGCAGACUGGAGGUAUGCAGGGGAGAACGGAAUUCCUGGUGUAGCGGUGAAAUGCGCAGAUAUCAGGAGGAACACCGGUGGCGAAGGCGGGGUCUCUGGGCCGAUACUGACGUGAGGAGCGAAAGCAUGGGAGCGAACGG
Molecule: ribosomal RNA, 252 nt
Filed under: uncultured bacterium
Lineage: Bacteria
Description: partial 16S ribosomal RNA
Rfam family: Bacterial small subunit ribosomal RNA
Source: RNAcentral